Molecule: non-coding RNA, 651 nt
Filed under: Pan troglodytes (chimpanzee)
Lineage: Eukaryota; Metazoa; Chordata; Mammalia; Primates; Hominidae
Source: RNAcentral
CAUCCAGAUGCCUGGCCAGGAUCCUCGAUAAGACCGUGACCCCCAACUUGGACACCCCAUAAGGCUGGAGUGCAGUGGCACAAUCUUGGCUCACUGCAACCUCCGACUUCUGGGUUCAAGCAAUUCUCCUGCAUCAGCCUCCCAAGUAGCUGGGACUACAGAGACAGGGUUUCGCCAUGUUGGCCAGGCUGGUCCCCAACUCCUGACCUCAUGUGAUCCACCCGCCUCGGCUUCCCAAAGUGCUGGGAUUACAGGCGUGAGCCAUCGCACCUGGCCUGAGUUUGCAUUUCUAGGUUCCCAGAUGAUGUGACAGCUACUGGUUUCCAGCCACACCUUGAGAACACUUGGCUUUGACUACCACUUCUUAAACUUAAAGGAAAACUAGACAAUCCACCAGCCCAGGAGGGGACAAGCAGGAUUAAUCCUCCUCCUCGUCAUCUCUGGCUCCAGCCCCACCCUGGCCCUUGCUGGCAUUCUUCCUCUUCACGUGGCUGGGUUUGGCCACCCCAAUAGGGAAGCAGAGGGAGAAGUCGAUGUGCUUCUGGGAAUCCAGGCGGAUAGUGAAGAACAGGAUAUUUACCACCUGCUCACGGACACGGAUAUGACACUGUUGGAUCAGCACAUGAGCGUGGCAGAUGGACUUAGCCAAGC